AGCUAGUUGGUGAGGUAAUGGCCCACCAAGGCGACGAUCGGUAGCCGGACUGAGAGGUUGAACGGCCACAUUGGGACUGAGACACGGCCCAGACUCCUACGGGAGGCAGCAGUGGGGAAUAUUGCACAAUGGGGGAAACCCUGAUGCAGCGACGCCGCGUGGAGGAAGAAGGUCUUCGGAUUGUAAACCCCUGUUGUUGAGGAAGAUAAUGACGGUACUCAACAAGGAAGUGACGGCUAACUACGUGCCAGCAGCCGCGGUAAAACGUAGGUCACAAGCGUUGUCCGGAAUUACUGGGUGUAAAGGGAGCGCAGGCGGGAAGACAAGUUGGAAGUGAAAUCCAUGGGCUUAACCCAUGAACUGCUUUCAAAACUGUUUUUCUUGAGUAGUGCAGAGGUAGGCGGAAUUCCCGGUGUAGCGGUGGAAUGCGUAGAUAUCGGGAGGAACACCAGUGGCGAAGGCGGCCUACUGGGCACCAACUGACGCUGAGGCUCGAAAGUGUGGGUAGCAAACAGGAUUAGAUACCCUGGUAGUCCACACUGUAAACGAUGAUUACUAGGUGUUGGAGGAUUGACCCCUUCAGCGCCGCAGUUAACACAAUAAGUAAUCCACCUGGGGAGUACGACCGCAAGGUUGAAACUCAAAGGAAUUGACGGGGGCCCGCACAAGCAGUGGAGUAUGUGGUUUAAUUCGACGCAACGCGAAGAACCUUACCAAGUCUUGACAUCCUGCGACGCACAUAGAAAUAUGUGUUUCCUUCGGGACGCAGAGACAGGUGGUGCAUGGUUGUCGUCAGCUCGUGUCGUGAGAUGUUGGGUUAAGUCCCGCAACGAGCGCAACCCUUAUGGUCAGUUACUACGCAAGAGGACUCUGGCCAGACUGCCGUUGACAAAACGGAGGAAGGUGGGGAUGACGUCAAAUCAUCAUGCCCUUUAUGACUUGGGCUACACACGUACUACAAUGGCGUUAAACAAAGAGAAGCAAGACCGCGAGGUGGAGCAAAACUCAGAAACAACGUCCCAGUUCGGACUGCAGGCUGCAACUCGCCUGCACGAAGUCGGAAUUGCUAGUAAUCGCAGAUCAGCAUGCUGCGGUGAAUACGUUCCCGGGCCUUGUACACACCGCCCGUCACACCAUGAGAGCCGGGGGGACCCGAAGUCGGUAGUCUAACCGCAAGGAGGACGCCGCCGAAGGUAAAACUGGUGAUUGGGGUGAAGUCGGAACAAGGUAGCCGUAGGAGAACCUGCGGCUG
RNAcentral lists this ribosomal RNA (1252 nucleotides) under metagenome. RNAcentral's name for it is "bacterial SSU rRNA". It matches the Rfam family "Bacterial small subunit ribosomal RNA", at positions 243 to 1520 of the family's 1533-position model. The record is from RNAcentral.